AGUGAACGCUGGCGGUAGGCCUAACACAUGCAAGUCGAACGGCAGCACAGGAGAGCUUGCUCUCUGGGUGGCGAGUGGCGGACGGGUGAGGAAUACAUCGGAAUCUGCCCAGUCGUGGGGGAUAACGUAGGGAAACUUACGCUAAUACCGCAUACGACCUUCGGGGGAAAGAGGGGGAUCGCAAGACCUCUCGCGAUUGGAUGAGCCGAUGUCGGAUUAGCUAGUUGGCGGGGUAACGGCCCACCAAGGCGACGAUCCGUAGCUGGUCUGAGAGGAUGAUCAGCCACACUGGAACUGAGACACGGUCCAGACUCCUACGGGAGGCAGCAGUGGGGAAUAUUGGACAAUGGGCGCAAGCCUGAUCCAGCCAUACCGCGUGGGUGAAGAAGGCCUUCGGGUUGUAAAGCCCUUUUGUUGGGAAAGAAAUCUUUCAGGCUAAUACCCUGGGAGGAUGACGGUACCCAAAGAAUAAGCACCGGCUAACUUCGUG
This 490-nucleotide ribosomal RNA is filed under the name uncultured bacterium. RNAcentral's name for it is "partial 16S ribosomal RNA". It matches the Rfam family "Bacterial small subunit ribosomal RNA", at positions 29 to 507 of the family's 1533-position model. The record is from RNAcentral.